UUAUUAUCAACUCAUCCUCAAUUUACACAUGCAAGUAUCAGCACACCCGUGAGAACGCCCUUCACCUUUUCAGGACAAGGAGCUGGUAUCAGGCACAGAUUUCAACUCUAGCCCAUAACACCUAGCUUUGCCACACCCUCAAGGGUAUUCAGCAGUGAUUAACCUUGUUAAUAAGCGCCAGCUUGACUCAGUUAGAGGACUUAGAGCCGGCUAAUACGGUGCCAGCCGCCGCGGCUACACCGCUAGGCUCAAGUUGAUAAUACUCGGCGUUAAGCGUGUUUAAAGUACCAAAAGACUAGAACUAAACUUCAACCAAGUUGUGACACACUUGUUUUAAAGAAACCCGAAAACGAAAGUUGUUCUAACCUGACUACUUGAACCCACGACAGCUAGGGCACAAACUGGGAUUAGGUACCCCACUAUGCCUAGCCGUAAAAUAUUAACCUACACCACUUAACCGCCAGGGAAUUACGAGCCCAAGCUUAAAACCCAAAGGACUUGACGGUGUCCCACCCCCCUAGAGGAGCCUGUCUAUAAUCGAUUCUCCCCGAUAUACCCGACCAUUUUUGGCCUAUCAGCCUGUAUACCUCCGUCGUAAGCUUACCAUAUGAACGACUUAGUGAGCUAAAAGAUUUUUCGUAAAUACGUCAGGUCAAGGUGCAGCCCACGAAAUGGCAAGCAAUGGGCUACAAUUUCUAUGCUAGAACACAACGAAAGGCUGUGUGCAACCCAGUCUUGAAGGCGGAUUUAGUAGUAAAAAGGAAGUAGAGAGUCCUUUUUAAUUAGGCGCUGGGACGCGUACACACCGCCCGUCACCCUCUUCAUAAGUAUUAAACAAGUUUUUAACAAGAUUUUUCUAUGCAGAAGAGGUAAGUCGUAACACGGUAAGUGUACUGGAAAGUGCACUUGGAUUAACAAA
This 919-nucleotide non-coding RNA is filed under the name Microhyla sp. 2 VG-2020. Its description in RNAcentral is "partial small subunit ribosomal RNA". It matches the Rfam family "Bacterial small subunit ribosomal RNA". Lineage: Eukaryota; Metazoa; Chordata; Amphibia; Anura; Microhylidae. The record is from RNAcentral.